This 253-nucleotide ribosomal RNA is filed under the name uncultured bacterium. Its description in RNAcentral is "partial 16S ribosomal RNA". It matches the Rfam family "Bacterial small subunit ribosomal RNA", at positions 524 to 776 of the family's 1533-position model. The record is from RNAcentral.
GACGUAGGUGGCGAGCGUUGUCCGGAUUUAUUGGGCGUAAAGGGCGCGCAGGUGGUGCGGCAAGUCUGCCGUGAAAUCUCCCGGCUCAACUGGGAGGGGGCGGUGGAGACUGCUGGACUUGAGGCACCUAGAGGCCGGUGGAAUUCCCGGUGUAGUGGUGAAAUGCGUAGAGAUCGGGAGGAACACCAGUGGCGAAGGCGGCCGGCUGGGGGGAGCCUGACACUGAGGCGCGACAGCGUGGGGAGCGAACCGG